This 943-nucleotide ribosomal RNA is filed under the name Bacillus stratosphericus. Its description in RNAcentral is "bacterial SSU rRNA". It matches the Rfam family "Bacterial small subunit ribosomal RNA", at positions 1 to 913 of the family's 1533-position model. The record is from RNAcentral. Lineage: Bacteria; Bacillati; Bacillota; Bacilli; Caryophanales; Bacillaceae.
ACUUAGUCUCCAGGCGGGAGUUUGAUCCUGGCUCAGGACGAACGCUGGCGGCGUGCCUAAUACAUGCAAGUCGAGCGGACAGAAGGGAGCUUGCUCCCGGAUGUUAGCGGCGGACGGGUGAGUAACACGUGGGUAACCUGCCUGUAAGACUGGGAUAACUCCGGGAAACCGGAGCUAAUACCGGAUAGUUCCUUGAACCGCAUGGUUCAAGGAUGAAAGACGGUUUCGGCUGUCACUUACAGAUGGACCCGCGGCGCAUUAGCUAGUUGGUGAGGUAACGGCUCACCAAUGGCGACGAUGCGUAGCCGACCUGAGAGGGUGAUCGGCCACACUGGGACUGAGACACGGCCCAGACUCCUACGGGAGGCAGCAGUAGGGAAUCUUCCGCAAUGGACGAAAGUCUGACGGAGCAACGCCGCGUGAGUGAUGAAGGUUUUCGGAUCGUAAAGCUCUGUUGUUAGGGAAGAACAAGUGCAAGACGUAACUGCUUGCACCUUGACGGUACCUAACCAGAAAGCCACGGCUAACUACGUGCCAGCAGCCGCGGUAAUACGUAGGUGGCAAGCGUUGUCCGGAAUUAUUGGGCGUAAAGGGCUCGCAGGCGGUUUCUUAAGUCUGAUGUGAAAGCCCCCGGCUCAACCGGGGAGGGUCAUUGGAAACUGGGAAACUUGGAGUGCAGAAGAGGAGAGUGGAAUUCCACGUGUAGCGGUGAAAUGCGUAGAGAUGUGGAGGAACACCAGUGGCGAAGGCGACUCUCUGGUCUGUAACUGACGCUGAGGAGCGAAAGCGUGGGGAGCGAACAGGAUUAGAUAACCCUGGUAGUCCACGCCGUAAACGAUGAGUGCUAAGUGUUAGGGGGUUUCCGCCCCUUAGUGCUGCAGCUAACGCAUUAAGCACUCCGCCUGGGGAGUACGGUCGCAAGACUGAAACUCAAAGGAAUUGA